RNAcentral lists this long non-coding RNA (273 nucleotides) under Phoenix dactylifera (date palm). RNAcentral's name for it is "long non-coding RNA (PDAC_LNC015018)". Lineage: Eukaryota; Viridiplantae; Streptophyta; Magnoliopsida; Arecales; Arecaceae. The record is from RNAcentral.
CAUAAUCAGCUCCGAUGUCCCCAUCAACUCCUCCCGAGUGAAAAGAACUCGACCCCGUCGAGUGCAGGUCUGAACAGUUGUCAUACUGCUCCAGAAGGUCAGGGUCAAGGCGCUGCAACUCGGCUCGCGAAAUUCACGUCACAUCCGAUUCGGGUUGACCUUUCCACCGAACAAAGUAACGUUGGUAACUUCCUCUCCUGGUAGAUAUAACAUGCUCAUCUAAUAUAUGUUCCAUGUGUUCUCUGCGUGCAUGAAACUUUGGAGGUGGAGGCU